AGUGGUUCAGGUGCCAAGGAUGCCCUAAAAAAAUAGAUUUCAAAACUCCUGUAAAUUUGGCAUAGAUAUUGAAAUAUAUUGAUUUGUUGGAGGAUAAUAUUAAAGCUGUGCCUAAGAAUUUUGCAAAAAUAUUAAGAUUUAUUUUAAGUAAAUUUUGUUUGAUCAUGGCAUCACUGUUUCAUUUUUCCAUUUUAAUUCUUUGUGCUACAUAAUAUCUGGGAUACAGUAAAGGGCUGCUUGCAAGUGCUUGGAGCAGAAAUAAGCUCCCACCACGGCUGCACUUCAGCAUAUCCCACUGAGCCGUGAAGUGCAGCAGCGCCUCGCUCACCAGCCAGCUCUGCUCCUGGAACUGGGCUAGAAAUGAUUGUGUCUGGGGUGUAAAAAUGUUGUCUUGGUUUUCAAGCGACCUCCACCUCAAGGCUUACAACCACCGUUCCUCCUGCAAAGAAAGGAAGAUUGAAGGAAGGUCACGUGGAGGCUGCUGCCAAGGUCAAAGUGCAGCGCGUGCUUGGCGGGAUCUGGCCCCACCCUCGCUGACAUUUGAGGAGUCCUCGAGUGUGAAGAUGCACUUGAAGGAGAACUGGUGA
Molecule: long non-coding RNA, 587 nt
Filed under: Fukomys damarensis (Damara mole-rat)
Lineage: Eukaryota; Metazoa; Chordata; Mammalia; Rodentia; Bathyergidae
Description: lncRNA (ENSFDAG00000032746.1)
Source: RNAcentral